GAUGAAGAACGCAGCGAAAUGCGAUAAGUAAUGUGAAUUGCAGAAUUCAGUGAAUCAUCGAAUCUUUGAACGCACCUUGCGCCCUUUGGCUAUUCCGAAGGGCAUGCCUGUUUGAGUAUCGUGAACACCUCAACUCUCAUGGUUUGCCAUGAUGAGCUUGGACUUUGGGGGUUUUGCUGGCCUUUGGUCGGCUCCUCUCAAACGGUUCAGCUUUCCAGUGUUUGGUGGCGUCACGGGUGUGAUAACUAUCUACGCCUGUGGUUUUCUGCCAGAUAACCUUCAGCGAUGGAGGUUCGCUGGGGCUCAUAAAUGUCUCUCUUCAGUGGAGACAGCUUUUUGGACGUUUGAUCUCAAAUCAGGUAGGACUACCCGCUGAACUUAAGCAUAUCAAUAAGCGGAGGA
Molecule: unclassified non-coding RNA, 402 nt
Filed under: soil metagenome
Description: partial contains 5.8S ribosomal RNA, internal transcribed spacer 2, and large subunit ribosomal RNA
Rfam family: 5.8S ribosomal RNA (bases 1-121)
Source: RNAcentral